UGGGGAAUAUUGCACAAUGGGGGAAACCCUGAUGCAGCGACGCCGCGUGAACGAAGAAGGUAUUCGUAUCGUAAAGUUCUGUCCUAUGGGAAGAUAAUGACAGUACCAUAGAAGAAAGCUCCGGCUAAAUACGUGCCAGCAGCCGCGGUAAUACGUAUGGAGCGAGCGUUGUCCGGAAUUAUUGGGCGUAAAGGGUACGCAGGCGGUUUAAUAAGUCGAAUGUUAAAGAUCGGGGCUCAACCCCGCAAAGCAUUGGAAACUGAUAAACUUGAGUAGUGGAGAGGAAAGUGGAAUUCCAGUGUAGUGGUGAAAUACGUAGAUAUUAGGAGGAAUACCAGUAGCGAAGGCGACUUUCUGGACACAAACUGACGCUGAGGUACGAAAGCGUGGGGAGCAAACAGG
RNAcentral lists this ribosomal RNA (402 nucleotides) under bacterium. RNAcentral describes it as "partial 16S ribosomal RNA". It matches the Rfam family "Bacterial small subunit ribosomal RNA", at positions 355 to 776 of the family's 1533-position model. The record is from RNAcentral.